UUCUUGGUCAUUUAGAGGAAGUAAAAGUCGUAACAAGGUUUCCGUAGGUGAACCUGCGGAAGGAUCAUUACAGAAUGUUCAGAGGCGGCUGCUGCUGGCGGAAAAAGAAAACCGCAUGUGCGCGUCGUCCUCGCCUUCAUCCAACACACACUUGUGCACCACAGGGCGAGCGCCUUCCAUGAGGAGCCGUCCCGCGUAACCCGAAAGGGGGGCGGGACUGAGGCCUCGAUCCCUUUUCCAUUACCACCGCCUGUCUUAUACGCAUGUGAUGAAUUUCUAACGAAAUACAACUUUCAACAACGGAUCUCUUGGCUUUCGCAUCGAUGAAGGACGCCGCGAAAGUGCGAAACGUAAUGUGAAUUGCAGAAUUCAGUGAAUCAUCGAAUCUUUGAACGCAUCUUGCGCUCCUUGGUAUUCCGAGGAGCAUGCCUGUUUGAGUGUCGUGAACUCUCUCGACCUCCCACCUUUUCGGAGGUGAGGGGUUCGGAUUUGGAUGUUGUCGGCUCCCGAGUGGGGUCGACUCGUCUUGAAAUGCAUCAGCUGGUUCCGCCGCGCGAGCUCGAUUCGACAACGGUGUGAUAAGUAAACUCUUUGACGCCGCUUCGAGUCUGGUCUCGUGUCCGGACGGGUGACCGCUUCCAAUCGUCUUUGGACAAUCAUACUUCAUGUCAUCUGACCUCAAAUCAGGUAGGACUACCCGCUGAACUUAAGCAUAUCAAUAAGCGGAGGAA
Molecule: ribosomal RNA, 731 nt
Filed under: Ramaria sp. OSC 111768
Lineage: Eukaryota; Fungi; Basidiomycota; Agaricomycetes; Gomphales; Gomphaceae
Description: eukaryotic LSU rRNA
Rfam family: 5.8S ribosomal RNA (bases 289-443)
Source: RNAcentral